Molecule: ribosomal RNA, 333 nt
Filed under: Chloropicon mariensis
Lineage: Eukaryota; Viridiplantae; Chlorophyta; Chloropicophyceae; Chloropicales; Chloropicaceae
Description: partial Bacterial large subunit ribosomal RNA
Rfam family: Bacterial large subunit ribosomal RNA
Source: RNAcentral
UCUAAGUACCCGGAGGAAGAGAAAACAAUUCAGUGAUUCCCUAAGUAGUGGCGAGCGAACGGGAAAGAGCCCAAACCACUUAUGUUACGGCAUAAGUGGGGUUGUAGGACUACGAUAUGAUUAUAAUGCAAUGAAGUGGAACAGGAUGGGAAGCCUGGCAGCAUAGAGUGAGAGCCUCGUACACGUAAGUACCAUUAGUCUAGUAGUAUCCUGAGUACCGCGAGGUCGGAGACGCCUUGUGGGAAUCUGCCGGCACCAUCCGGUAAGGCUAAAUACUCCUGAGAGACCGAUAGUGAACCAGUACCGUGAGGGAAAGGUGAAAAGAACCCCGGG